Molecule: transfer RNA, 73 nt
Filed under: Camelus bactrianus (Bactrian camel)
Lineage: Eukaryota; Metazoa; Chordata; Mammalia; Artiodactyla; Camelidae
Also listed under: 2 other names
Rfam family: tRNA
About the family: Transfer RNA (tRNA) molecules are approximately 80 nucleotides in length. Their secondary structure includes four short double-helical elements and three loops (D, anti-codon, and T loops).
Source: Rfam by way of RNAcentral
GAGGAUAUAGUUCAAUUGGUAGAGUGCGUGCUUAGCAUGCAUGAGGUCCUGGGUUCAAUCCCCAGUACCUCCA